UCAACAACAUCUAGUCCCCACACCUCACU
This 29-nucleotide small RNA is filed under the name Bombyx mori (domestic silkworm). Its description in RNAcentral is "ovarian small RNA-24531". The record is from RNAcentral. Lineage: Eukaryota; Metazoa; Arthropoda; Insecta; Lepidoptera; Bombycidae.